RNAcentral lists this ribosomal RNA (506 nucleotides) under uncultured bacterium. Its description in RNAcentral is "bacterial SSU rRNA". It matches the Rfam family "Bacterial small subunit ribosomal RNA", at positions 28 to 523 of the family's 1533-position model. The record is from RNAcentral.
GACGAACGCUGGCGGCGUGGAUUAGGCAUGCAAGUCGAACGGUAUCAUCCUUUCGGGGGUGAGAGAGUGGCGAACUGGUGAGUAACACGUAGGUUAUCUACCCUCAAGACGGGGACAACCCAGGGAAACUUGGGCUAAUACCGGAUGUGAGCAACUUUUAGUUGUUUGAAAGGUGGCGUAAGCUGUCGCUUGGGGAUGAGCCUGCGUCCUAUUAGUUAGUUGGUGAGGUAACGGCUCACCUAGGCAAUGAUAGGUAGGCGGCCUUAACGGGUGGUCGCCCACACUGGGAUUGAGAUACGGCCCAGACUCCUACGGGAGGCAGCAGUCGAGAAUAGUCUACAAUGGUCGGAAGACUGAUAGUGCGACGCCGCGUGAACGAUGAAUCCCUUCGGGGUGUAAAGUUCUUUUAUAUGUGAGCAGUGCUUCUUAUAUUAACAGUAUGGGGAGAGAGAUAUUAGCAUAUGAAUAAGCAACGGCUAACUCCGUGCCAAGCACGCCGGACGUAA